GAUGAACGCUGGCGGCGUGCCUAACACAUGCAAGUCGAACGGAGAUUACGGACGGAAGUUUUCGGAUGGAAGACUGUAAUUCUUAGUGGCGGACGGGUGAGUAACGCGUGGGCAACCUGCCCUAUACAGGGGGAUAGCAGCUGGAAACGGCUGGUAAGACCGCAUAAGUCGGCGAGACCGCAUGGUUUUGCCGGGAAAUGAGCAAUCAGGUAUAGGAUGGGCCCGCGUCCGAUUAGCCAGUUGGCAGGGUAAAAGCCUACCAAAGCAACGAUCGGUAGCCGGACUGAGAGGUCGGACGGACACAUUGGGACUGAGACACGGCCCAAACUCCUACGGGAGGCAGCAGUGGGGGAUAUUGCACAAUGGAGGAAACUCUGAUGCAGCGACGCCGCGUGAGUGAAGAAGUAUUUCGGUAUGUAAAGCUCUAUCAGCAGGGAAGAUGAUGACGGUACCUGACUAAGAAGCCCCGGCUAACUACGUG
This 481-nucleotide ribosomal RNA is filed under the name uncultured bacterium. RNAcentral's name for it is "partial 16S ribosomal RNA". It matches the Rfam family "Bacterial small subunit ribosomal RNA", at positions 28 to 507 of the family's 1533-position model. The record is from RNAcentral.